This 4932-nucleotide long non-coding RNA is filed under the name Nicotiana benthamiana. RNAcentral's name for it is "long non-coding RNA (NBEN_LNC021202)". Lineage: Eukaryota; Viridiplantae; Streptophyta; Magnoliopsida; Solanales; Solanaceae. The record is from RNAcentral.
UCGAGAUCUCUGGCUGGACUGAAGGCAAACUCCCCAAGUGCUAAUGUCCAAAUGUUGCUCCGGUAUCUGCACAUAGUGUAGAGUAUAACAUCAGCACAAGCGACCCCAUGUGAUUGUCAGUGGCUGGCGUAACCCCAACAAGGUAGUGACGAGGCUAGGACCAGUCUCCAGAUAAAUCUGUGCAGGUAUAUAAUAUACAACAAAAAAUAAACAUGAAUAAACAGUUAACAUGGGAGGGGGUACAUGCUACGGGGAAAAUACCUUCUCUAGAAGAAACUUAAGAGAAAUAUGAGAGAACAAUCCAAGAUCUACACCAACAAAAAAAUAAUAACACUGUUGCGACGCAUAACUCGACCCCAUUUAUAUCACUGUUGCGGUAUGCAACCCGAUCCAAUAUAAUAUUUAUUGCGACGUGCAACUCGAUCCACAUAUAAUAUUGUUACGGCGUGCAACUCGAUCCACAUAUAACUUUGUUGCGGGGUGCAACCCGAUCAACAUAUAACAUUAUUGCAGCGUGCAACCCAAUCCACAUAUAACAUUGUUGCGGCGUGCAACCUGUGUCGCACCCCUUUUUUAUAGAGUCGAAAUCAUACUUGUGACAUUUGGGAGGACAACUCGUUCCCCUUUGGGAAUUGAGUUUUAGAAUUGAAGAGUCGCCACCUAAUGAUUAUGUGCAUUAGGACACUAAGAGGAUUUUUGAUUUAGAAACCAGAGAUUAGGGUAAGGGCUAGAAAUUAUCCCGAGGGGGAGGUAUUAGGCACCCCUCAGGAUCCACAAAUGUGGUUCCUGGUCAUGUUACAAUUGUGACUUUAUAUAAACACAUAAGCAAUUAAGGUUCAAAUAAGUACUCGCAUAUAACAUUAAAAAAAAGUUGAAAACUUGUGAAGGUAAGUAGAGAGGGCAGAAUUUUAUGAAAAAGAUUUAAAGAGUUUUACAAGAAGAGACGAAAUCAAAUAAAAGGAUAGGGGUCCAAGGUUUAUGGUUAAUAUGGAUCACAUCAAUGCAACAUCCAGCAAUCACUCCUAAGAAGAGGGGUCACACAUGAUAUUAGCACACCGGUUAUCAUAUCUAUAUUCUACAUUUCCCACCCCGUUAAGGUAUUAAAGCGCGGAAUAGUAUCGUUACUUAAUGCGUGCCUCUACCCGUUCCAAUCCUAUCAGUGCCAGAGGCAUAUUGGACAACUAACCCUAAAGAGGAGGGAGUUUGGGGCCUUUUGAGAGUUUUCAAAGGACAAAAUUUUAAGGCGACAUUCAAAAACAUAUACAACAAGUAUUGAAAGGCAAGUAAACAAAUAUGCUCAAAUAAGCCUCCUUAAAUCAAAGAAAAGCAUUUAGUUUAGCAUGUCUUACACAUACCGAUUUGGUCUGAAUUAAAUUAAGGCGUAGGGUAGGUUGAUUUACCAUAUAUUUUCCAGAUAAAUAGUCCAAAUUAGCCUUUCUUAGAUGUAGUUAUCAAAGACUGACCCAAUUGAUUAAUUACCUAACCAUUCUUAUGUGUUAAACGGAGCUAUAAGCAUGAUAGCUAUUGGAUUCAGAGAUAAAGGAGUAAACUAAUUGCAGAGAAAGAGCUAUCAAUUAUAAGGUCAUAAGUUCUGUGAGUGUUAAACAAAAUGCUACUGAUUUUAGACUUAGGAGCGAGUGGACGAUUCAAGUUUUAGUUGAUAACUCCUAUAUGCAUUCUUUCUAGGCGUUUACUGAUUUAGCUGCUGUUAUUGCUUAUGCAUAAAUCCUAUAGGCAUAUCAUCUAUAUAUAGUCAAUUAUUUAAGUCCUAUAAUAAGUCUGCCUAAUGGUCAUAUAUGCAUGCUUUCUACGUGUUCACUGAUUUAGUCGUUGUUAUUGCUUAUGCAGAAAUCCUAUAGGCAGGUCAUCUAUAGGCAGUCAGCUAUUUAAGUCCUAUACUACGUUUUCCUUAUGACUGAUGCAUAUGCAAAAAUGCAGAAGUCCUGUAGGCAUAUUAUCUAUAUGAUAUGCAUACUGAUGAAUAUGGUUCUAUACGAAAAUGCAGAAAAUACUAUGUACAUGAUAUCUGUAUGAAAUUGCAGAAAAUCCUAAGAACAUGAUAUCUAUAUGAAAUGCAGAAAUCCCAUGAACAUGAUAUCUAUAUGAAAUGCAGAAAUACCUAUGAACAUGAUAUCUAUAUGAGGCGCAGAUUUUCAGUAGUUAACUAUAUGAAAAAUGCAGAAUUUCAGAAAUAGUAUUUUCCUAUUAUCAUGGUGUCUAUAUGAGGUGCAUAAAUUUUAGAAGUAACGAUCCCCUAUAGUCAUGAUAUCUACCCCUUUUGCAUGCAUUUAAUCCCACCCAAUUAGUUAUUACAAAAUUAUUACAGACUAAAUGAAUAAGACAAAAAAGUAAAAUUACAUGAGUGAUUACAUCUACAUCUAAUCGGCCUAAUUCAGACUCAGAGUCUAAUAAUAUGAGAUAAACCAACUUCCAGGAUCAUAUUUUCAUAGCCUUUCUCUUACUUGGGAUGUGUCAAAGUUCGAAGAAUCUUCAAGAACUCCAGGCAAUGCUUACACCCCAAAUGUCAUUACAGAAUCAGAUUAUAGUGAAGUGUAGAAUUGUUAGCCCUCAAAUGUCCAAGUUCAGAAGGAACUCAAGGUGCCAAGGCAAGGCUCAUAGGAAGGGGGCAGAACUUAGAGUCUAGGAAUAAGUGCAAGUGCAGUAGAGGUGAAAUAGCAAAAAUGUUAUCAUGCCAAGCAUUUUUUGGGGUGCUGGCAUACCCUUGACUAGCUUGUCAGUUGUAAAUUGGGGAGUUAGGACCAAUUAAAGGCCAGGUUCAUCCUUGGACAACAAUUGGGAUGCUACUAGGCUAUACAUUAACUCAGCACACAUAUGGGAAUGGGGCAUGGGGAAACUUAAAGAGGCUAGGAUCCAAAGGAUCCAAGUUUUAUCCAUGAACAAUAACUUGUACAUUGUCAUGCCUUAAAACUAUAGCUCAAACACAUAAAGGGGAGUAGGGAUAGGGAUUCAUUGUAGCAACAGAUAACGAGACAUAAACACACUACUUUAAAAGUUGAACUUAACAAAAACAGUAAAGUAGACAUGGAAAUAAGAGCUUGUAAAUAAACACAUUGGGGUGAUACUAGAAUCAAAAUUAGGACAUAGCAGGCUUAAAAGAGACAAGAAAAAGAAGGCAUUAUUCUUGCGAAAGCCAAAGUGUUGACAAUAAAGUUCAGAAGAGGUUGUGAGAAUUAGGUGUGAAGUUCUGAAGUGUAUUCAGUGUGUGUUGUGAAAAGAAAGAGUCGUGUAUUAAUAGUUUGAAAAUAGGUAUAAAGUAAGGAAAGAAUCAUAGUAAUUAUGGAACUAUGUAUCAAUUACAAUCAAACAACAUAAGAACUUUCUUUAAGGAGUUUAAACUCAAACGGUAAUGGACAACAAUCAGUUAAGGAAAGAAAAUCAAGUACACAUCUUGUGUAAAAUAGGAAAUUAGGGGUAAAUACACAGGGGUUUAACUAAGGAAACAUUAAUUAAGAAUAUUUUAAAUACACGGUUAGCAAAAUAAGGUAAGAAACAUAGUGAAUCAAUUAGUACAUAGUUAAUCGAGGAAUUAGGGAUUCGAAAUUACCAAUGAACCAUGUCAGAAAGAGAGGUAAAGGAAGGUUCAAUUAGGAAAAAAUCAGUAACAAUCAAGUAAGCGACAUUGAGGGGAUUCAUAAUCAAUUAAUAGUUGGCAAAACCCUUCGAAAGAAAAAUUCUCAUAUAUAAGGCACAUAGACAUGUCAAGAAAGAAGGAUGUCAUGCUAGUUAGGCCAAACUAGGAAGCAAGUUUCCAAAUCACAACCAAAGAAAAAAGUUCGAAUUUAGUUCAUAGACUCGGAUUGAGUCUGAGAGUUCACGGUUCCAAAGUAGAACCCCUGUACAAAUACAAAAACAAACUUUCCAAAGAAACCCCCAAAAUCCAAAUGUUUUAAAACUCGAAUUCGACAUAGAGAUGAGAAGACAAGAAAUUGAAACAGACUCAGAGACCUCUUUUAGUGUCUCAUGAGAAAACAUACAAACACAAUAGCUGGUUCAAGGCAAAUAGAAGGUAGAACUAAUUUGAAGUACAGGGAACAAGUUUUAAGAAAAGCUUGGGACUUAAGCAAGCUCAGGAGAUAAAAAGAUAGUGUAAACUUAAGGGAAAAAUUGAUGAAACAUAUUUAGAAAGAACAUAAAGGAAAAUAAAGGAUUAAAACUCAGUAAAAAAAUACAGUAAAGAAACACACAAGAUAGACAUGUGAGAGCAUGAUAUUGAAACUAGUAGAAGAAAGAACAUAGCAUAAUAGAAAUACCACAUAAUACAAAAAACAUAAGAACACAUGAGAAAAAUAUGUGAGUUUGAAAAGAGAAACAAGAACAUAUCAUGGAUCGAUUCACACCAAGAAGAAGAACAAGAAGAAGAAGAAGAAGAAGAAGAAGAAGAAGAAGAAGAAGAAGAAGAAGCAGAAACAUCUUAAGAACCUCUUCAGAAACCCUAAUCGAAAAUAAGUAAUUUUUUAAAAGAAAAAUCGAGAAAACGUUUAAGAAACUUAAGCAAUGCACAAACGUAUACCAGAUAUUAAAAAAUAAUCAGAGAGAACCUCGAGUAAUUAAGGUUUCAAAGGUACCCUGAAUGAGAAAGGCUUAGAAAAAGCUUGAUCCUGAGUUGGACUAGUCAGAAUCAGGCUAGAAACUCUUUGGACAAGGCUGGAGAGGCCUCGAAGCCACGGAUAUGAGAAGAUUUGAGAGAGUACCAUUGAGUUCAGACCUCGAGUCUUCGAGGAACCAUGGUUUAUGGGUAAAGGGAGGUGAGUCCAGACCGUUCAUGGCCUGAGAAGCCAUGGAUUCCAUUGAAAACAUGUUGGAAUAAGGUAGGAGGAGGCUAGGGUUCCGAAGAACCUUGAGAGAGAUUAAGAUUCAAAGGGGGUCGAUGCGUGGAAAUGAGGGGGAUUGGAGUAGGUCGUUUGGUUUAAU